Molecule: ribosomal RNA, 371 nt
Filed under: uncultured bacterium
Lineage: Bacteria
Description: bacterial SSU rRNA
Rfam family: Bacterial small subunit ribosomal RNA
Source: RNAcentral
GACGAACGCUGGCGGCGUGCUUAACACAUGCAAGUCGAGCGGUAAGGCCCUUUCGGGGUACACGAGCGGCGAACGGGUGAGUAACACGUGGGUGACCUGCCCUCAGCUCUGGGAUAAGCCUGGGAAACUGGGUCUAAUACCGGAUAUGACCCCAUGACGCAUGUUGUGGGGUGGAAAGCCUUGUGCGGCUGAGGAUGGGCCCGCGGCCUAUCAGCUUGUUGGUGGGGUGAUGGCCUACCAAGGCGACGACGGUAGCCGCCUGAGAGGGCGACCGGCCACACUGGGACUGAGACACGGCCCAGACUCCUACGGGAGGCAGCAGUGGGGAAUCUUGCGCAAUGGGCAAAGCCUGACGCAGCGACGCCGCGUGA